RNAcentral lists this ribosomal RNA (482 nucleotides) under uncultured bacterium. Its description in RNAcentral is "partial 16S ribosomal RNA". It matches the Rfam family "Bacterial small subunit ribosomal RNA", at positions 30 to 507 of the family's 1533-position model. The record is from RNAcentral.
AUUGAACGCUGGCGGCAUGCCUUACACAUGCAAGUCGAACGGUAACAGGUCUUCGGCCGCUGACGAGUGGCGAACGGGUGAGUAAUACAUCGGAACGUGCCCGAUCGUGGGGGAUAACGAGGCGAAAGCUUUGCUAAUACCGCAUACGAUCUACGGAUGAAAGCGGGGGAUCUUCGGACCUCGCGCGGACGGAGCGGCCGAUGGCAGAUUAGGUAGUUGGUGGGAUAAAAGCUUACCAAGCCGACGAUCUGUAGCUGGUCUGAGAGGAUGAUCAGCCACACUGGGACUGAGACACGGCCCAGACUCCUACGGGAGGCAGCAGUGGGGAAUCUUGGACAAUGGGCGAAAGCCUGAUCCAGCCAUGCCGCGUGCAGGAUGAGGGCCUUCGGGUUGUAAACUGCUUUUGUACGGAACGAAAAGCCUCUUUCUAAUAAAGAGGGGUCAUGACGGUACCGUAAGAAUAAGCACCGGCUAACUACGUG